UACAGAGGGUGCAAGCGUUGUUCGGAAUUAUUGGGCGUAAAGCGCGUGUAGGCGGCUUUGCAAGUCGGGUGUGAAAGCCCUCGGCUCAACCGAGGAAGUGCGCCCGAAACUGCAGAGCUUGAGUACCGGAGAGGAUGGCGGAAUUCCCCAAGUAGAGGUGAAAUUCGCAGAUAUGGGGAGGAACACCGGUGGCGAAGGCGGCCAUCUGGACGGAUACUGACGCUGAGACGCGAAAGCGUGGGUAGCAAACAGG
RNAcentral lists this ribosomal RNA (253 nucleotides) under uncultured bacterium. Its description in RNAcentral is "partial 16S ribosomal RNA". It matches the Rfam family "Bacterial small subunit ribosomal RNA", at positions 524 to 776 of the family's 1533-position model. The record is from RNAcentral.